RNAcentral lists this ribosomal RNA (484 nucleotides) under uncultured bacterium. RNAcentral's name for it is "partial 16S ribosomal RNA". It matches the Rfam family "Bacterial small subunit ribosomal RNA", at positions 30 to 507 of the family's 1533-position model. The record is from RNAcentral.
AUUGAACGCUGGCGGCAGGCCUAACGCAUGCAAGUCGAGCGGAUGAAGGGAGCUUGCUCCUGGAUUCUGCGGCGGACGGGUGAGUAAUGCCUAGGAAUCUGCCUGGUAGUGGGGGAUAACGUCCGGAAACGGGCGCUAAUACCGCAUACGUCCUGAGGGAGAAAGUGGGGGAUCUUCGGACCUCACGCUAUCAGAUGAGCCUAGGUCGGAUUAGCUAGUUGGUGGGGUAAAGGCCUACCAAGGCGACGAUCCGUAACUGGUCUGAGAGGAUGAUCAGUCACACUGGAACUGAGACACGGUCCAGACUCCUACGGGAGGCAGCAGUGGGGAAUAUUGGACAAUGGGCGAAAGCCUGAUCCAGCCAUGCCGCGUGUGUGAAGAAGGUCUUCGGAUUGUAAAGCACUUUAAGUUGGGAGGAAGGGCAGUAAGUUAAUACCUUGCUGUUUUGACGUUACCAACAGAAUAAGCACCGGCUAACUUCGUG